Mobula hypostoma (lesser devil ray) is the source of this 1048-nucleotide long non-coding RNA. RefSeq lists it as uncharacterized. NCBI's taxonomy places the organism in Eukaryota, Metazoa, Chordata, Chondrichthyes, Myliobatiformes, Myliobatidae. The transcript has 4 exons. The record is from RefSeq and is a predicted model, not a curated record.
CAGCUUGAGGUAGGGUUUCCAGUGUUCAUAGACUGCCUUGGAGUCUCCCAAAAUGAUGCUGAAUUUCUCAGCCACUACAGGGAGCACCGGAAGUACAGUUACACCUGUGUAGAGGGAGUGUGCCGUUCCUCCGCUCCUGGGUCGAGUCGGCACCAGCACCUACCAAGAUUGAGGCUGUCAUCUGCCGCACCUGGGUUGAGUCAGUGCUGGCAACCACCAUGACUGAGAGGUUCUGCUGUUCCUCCACACUUGGGCCCCAGUCCUGACUAUUUCAUAACAUUCAAAGCAGCUGUUGUGGAUACGGUCCAUGGGAGAUAGGAAAUCAACAUGCUUCAUUUAUCAAUAACAGAGUCCCUCCACAAAAUAAUCUCCAAUUAAUGGUGGCCAGGAUUGUUGCUAAUUCUGUCCGCUGUGAGCUAUCAGGAAAUUUAGAAAACGUAAAGCUAACGCUAAAGUUUUUAAUUACAAGUUCCAUUUUAAGACUUGGUCAGAUUGGCUGCCGCUUCAAACUCUUAUUAAGUUUUCUACAAUGCAUCGGAGCCUAUUGUGAAGAUUUGUAAUACUUUUAGAGGCAUUGACAAUGGAUUAAAUCUGAUUUUGUGGUGGAGUGGGAAUGAAAUCUGCAAGUAUUCUAAAGGAAUGAAAAGGUGAGAAGCGAAUGUAUUAAAUUCACCCAUCUUUUGAAUCAACAUUCAUUCUAUUAUUAAUGAUCCAGAACCUUUUUAUCCAUGGCCAUAAUCUUACAUUGUCCUUAGAUACAUAAACAGUGCUUGAUGUGAUGUGUAUUAGCAAAGUCCAAAAUUCAAAAGCAGAUUUUAAGCCUUAUCCGAUCUAGGUAUGUAUCUACAGGUGUCCUCGCUAUAGGGAGAUGUACUGUAUUAACCUACUCUGCGAAGACUAGCUUCUUUCCCUGUCUUGUCUCAGCAGUGCGGUCUAACAGCCAAUGCCCACGAUUUGAGUGAUGGGGUCCCCUCCCUACCAAGAAGGAGAUCCUUCCAGCUACCAAAAUAGUUUAAGCACAGUUUAUUAUAUUUUUAAUGACACAUGC